GCAGUCGAACGGUAACAGGAAAUAGCUUGCUAUUUUGCUGACGAGUGGCGCACGGGUGCGUAACGCGUAUACAAUCUACCUUUUGCUGAGGGAUAGCCCAGAGAAAUUUGGAUUAAUACCUCAUGGUAUUAUUGAUAGGCAUCUAUUAAUAAUUAAAGGUUACGGCAAAAGAUGAGUAUGCGUCCCAUUAGCUAGUUGGUGAAGUAACGGCUCACCAAGGCAACGAUGGGUAGGGGUCCUGAGAGGGAGAUCCCCCACACUGGUACUGAGACACGGACCAGACUCCUACGGGAGGCAGCAGUGAGGAAUAUUGGACAAUGGGCGAGAGCCUGAUCCAGCCAUGCCGCGUGCAGGAAGACUGCCCUAUGGGUUGUAAACUGCUUUUAUACAGGAAGAAUAAGCCUUACGUGUAAGGUGAUGACGGUACUGUAAGAAUAAGGACCGGCUAACUCCGUGCCAGCAGCCGCGGUAAUACGGAGGGUCCGAGCGUUAUCCGGAAUUAUUGGGUUUAAAGGGUCCGUAGGCGGAUGAUUAAGUCAGGGGUGAAAGUUUGCAGCUCAACUGUAAAAUUGCCUUUGAUACUGGUCAUCUUGA
This 594-nucleotide ribosomal RNA is filed under the name uncultured bacterium. RNAcentral's name for it is "bacterial SSU rRNA". It matches the Rfam family "Bacterial small subunit ribosomal RNA", at positions 57 to 645 of the family's 1533-position model. The record is from RNAcentral.